This is a small nucleolar RNA of Gastrolobium bilobum, 146 nucleotides long. RefSeq annotates it as small nucleolar RNA snoR138. Lineage: Eukaryota; Viridiplantae; Streptophyta; Magnoliopsida; Fabales; Fabaceae. The record is from RefSeq and is a predicted model, not a curated record. The transcript has a single exon.
UAUGCCUCCGAAUAACCACACUGUGAAAAAACGACACACCGUUUGGUUCAGACAGAGGCGCAUAUCAAAGGUUGAACAUUCGAAUUGGUAUGAGGGUACGGAAACGCUUUCUCUUCUGUUCCUUACCUGGAUAUAUUCGGAUAUUC